Molecule: non-coding RNA, 8081 nt
Organism: Varroa destructor (honeybee mite)
Lineage: Eukaryota; Metazoa; Arthropoda; Arachnida; Mesostigmata; Varroidae
Source: RefSeq, a predicted model, not a curated record
UUGAGGUCGAAAUAGGAACCGUGAGAAUGCUCUAACACUCACAGAAUUGUCGUACUGCCGUGAGUUAGCAGCGCAGAGCCUCCAAGGUUGGACCAGCAUUGUUUUAUAACACAGCAGGAUUUAUGGACACUAUGUAAUCUGGAAUAAUCUUAAGCCGUACUUGGAAAAUCAUUCAAGCUCUUCUGCCAUCUGCAUUCUAUCAUCGGCUACUGUGGAAUGAGAAGCCCGGCUAAUUUUUUUUGUAAUUCUUUUUUUUUUUUUUCAUUAUUAAAGCCGCUGAUACAACCGAAUAAGGUGAGCUACAGUUACAUCUAUUUCAUUCAUUUACUACUAUACCUAAAUGUACGUCCAGUUACAUAGAGGAUAAUUAUAUUCUGCAAUAUACCUUAUAUAAUAUUUCUGAUAAGGAUGCCCCUGUUAUAAAACUAUUUGAUCUUAGAAAGUUGAUAAUAUUCCGUUCCGGCGGCUAGAUUAAGUGACCUCGAUUUUUUUCUUUAACAUACGCAUGUACGUGCAUCUGAUUUAUUGAUUUACCUAUAUUAUGACGUUGUUUAGGCGCACGUUUCUGCUCUAUGUUAGAAUAAUAUAUAUUGAAUCCAGUUAGUAAUAAAGAGUAAGCUGAACACUCUUUACUGGAUUUUCGUUUUAUUUAGAAGCGUUUCAACACAAUGUAUCCAUACACACUGCAAUAUAUCCUUCAUUCGUAGAAGAUUAAAGUUCGCGGCGCUUGAAGUCUCUAUGUGCUCCAGUUUUUUGUGCGAGGAGAAAGCAGUAUAUCUUUGAUCUAGCGGGAAAGCCGAAAGAUAUGCGAUGUGGGGCCGACGAUCGUCGCCGUGGGGCUUCCUAGAGAGUUCAAUGACGAGUCUCGUAUGGCUGUAUCAGUUAUAUACGGACGACCGAAUAUACUUUUUUGUUGUUUUGUACAGAAAAUAAUUGCUUCAUUGACUAUUUCAUUCCCUAAACAAAUUCGGUCACAGUCUUGCUUCUCUAAUUUCAAGGGUAAAGAUAUAUACAGUGUUGCUCUUUCUAGUUAUUACUUUAUAAAGUUCAGUUUUCAACAAAGCAAAUGUUUACGGUAAAGACCUUACGGUUACGAUUGAAGCUGUGUGAAUUUAGCCGGCCAUAGCUCUACAAGCAGAAUUCGCCGGCAGGCUGGAUAAAUCAUGCACAAGUCUGGUUCUCAGUUGCAUGUAAGUUUAGGUGGACCGAGACGAUGAACUUCGCAACGCAAGGUUUAUGUAUUUAGGCUAAAAUAAAGCUCGAACUAUAAAGUCUGUCGGUCCAGACCGGUAUUCUUCGAGCUGGCAUUUAAUUAUUCCAAAAUGGCGCACGAUUAACUUCAAGCUAAAAUUGCAUCCCGUAAGCUAUAAUUUUAGCGCUGAAGCGUAACUGUAAACUUAAUGUGCAAAGUUACAAUUCAUAAAAAAAGAGAAACAAAAAAUAUAUAAUAGAAAAAAAUCAACGUAAGACGUAAGUAACGUUUACAGGAGCGCGCGUCAGAGGUCUACGCAGAGUGCCUUUCUUUGUAGUCUUCGGUCUGGGUUCGGACCUAGGCAAGCUGCGGCUUACCUAAAAUUUACCAGAUUUAUAUAUAUUUAUACAGUUUUCAUUGCUAAUAUACCCCAAGAGGAAAACCUGUAGCGCAUACUAUGUAAACAUAAAUUGGUUUACCGAGACAAUAGAUAUUAAAAGUGGGUAAAAUAAUUGCACGGCAAGCAAUAAUAAAACGCCGGAGAGUCUCCAGAGCGAUAGCUCCAAUGUGCAAGGUAAAACGAAUACCACUAAAUGAAAAAAACAACAUAUUAUCAUACGGUUAUUAUUGUUCUAGAACCCCCUCUCGAAUCGUAAAUCUUUCUAGCGAAGUGUUAGACAACGGUCUUGCUAUGAGUUGACGAGGGUGCAAUGAUCAACAUUUACUACAUGUGUUCACUCAUUCCAACAAUCUAACACAAGCAGUCCUGCUCAUCGUUUGUACAUAUGUACUCCGCCUAUUUAUAUCUUUUUCUAUAAAUACACAAUAUUAUUUUGUAUUUUGUGAUGCUGAAGAUGUGUAUUUUUUUUCGAAUUUAUAAUAUGGCCAUUAGACAGUAUUAUGUAGGGGGAAUUCCGGGACCGACAGAUACAUGUCGUUAGGAGACACUCUCGAACUAGAAAACAAAUCGUUCGUUUUAGAACAUAUAUCGUCUCAGUAAUCAGCAAUGGCAAUAUUCCAGAUAUUAAGAUCAGACUGCCUAGAAAUUUCUCAGCGUCUAAUUCCAGGAAUCCGUGUGAGUCCAUUUUGUUGAUCUCGAAUUGUGUUAACAUGGCACAGCGGCACCAACGUUCGUAGCAGCCUGCCAACAAUGGUCAUGGUGGUCGCUUUUGUACAAGCGGCAAUCGCUCGUAACGAUAGCGAUUCAAUAUAAAUCUUUUAAACGUACGUCCGGUGUUGUCACUGAGCGUUGCUUCAUAGUUACUACUUUUAACAUGAUUCGCCGCUAUUUAGCAAUUAUGUUGCAGGCGUCUGCGGCGGAAUAAAUCGCUAUUCGUUAGCUACUUAAUAGAUUCUGUAGCUCUGUAUAUUGUACGUACUCGCUAGCUGUGUCUAAUGGUGCCGGACGGUUAAGCAUUUAAGUAGCUGGGAGACGACCGCAACGGCUGUUUUCGAUGGCGGCGGCAAAACAUUCCGUUGCUUCGAACACUACUGUGACCGCCUCAAAGUACUCGCCAGCGACAGAAGACGACGAAAAGAAGGUCUUGUACAGGUGCUAUGCGUCUCCACCACAAAAGGUGAUCGCAGACACAAGCUGCCAGCUCAAAACAAGAGGCAAUGGCUAUGAGCACGUGUUGGCGCUUAAGCAAGCGGUGUAGGCGUCCUCUCCUUUUUCGUAUCAGUGGAACAUAUGCAAUAGAGCCAUGAACGCUCACGUAGGCGACUAGCUACAGCGUCAGUCCGGAGACGGUACGGGUCGUGUACGCAGUCGAACGGAAAGAUGUCCAGAGAGACCCACAGGCUCAGUAGCUUGCAUAGUUACGUGAGUUCAGAGAUGUUGUCCACGUCAACAAGUCAGCAACGCUUAUUUAGGUCGGCAGCGGAAAUACGGUAUCUGCUCUGUCAAAUCAGGAAUACGGAGAUCGUUGCCUAGGCACGGAGAGUCGCAAAGGACGUGGCGGGGUUGCAGGGCCCUAGAAGAUGAUGAUAUGGGCGGCUAGAUGCCGUCAAUGCUGAACAGACGUUGUUUUCCGGUUGGGGCAGCAGAAGGGGCAGCUACAGCAGCAGCAGCAGCAGCAGCAGCAGCGGCGGCUCUAGACGCAACCACACGCCAACGGCAAGAGUUGAUAUGAGAGUGAUAUGUCGUUGAUCACGACGGCAGCGGCAUUUGGAUAAAAUUAAUGCUGCUCGUUAUAGACAACGAAAUAAACGAUGUCAUGGGUCGAGCGCGACGUCAGGAUAAAAAUGGUCAUUGUCACAAACAACGCAAUGACCUACAUUUAGCGGACGUCUGUAGUGGUUUCGGCGGUCUGAACUGGUGUGCGAGGGGUCUCGAGUUAAAGGUCUCCAUUAUUACUGUUAUAAUAUCCAUUUAUAGACGUUUUGGUAGCGGUCGUCCAUUCCCAAGCGAAGCCAGAAGAUCUAGUGGUUUUGUAGAUACCAUGGUGCCACACCCCAAUAGUUCAGGUCUGUCAGUGGCUCUGAUAGACGCUUUCCAACACGACCCUUCCUGCUAACUCAGAAUUUCACUUCAAGGUAUUUUAUAGUCACAGUAAUAACAUACACACAAACGAAUCAGGGAUUCUGUAUUCAAGUUAUUCUGUUGUCUUUAUAAAACAUGAUAGUUUCGGUAUAGUCUGUGUGCUUUUUCCUUUUGUUGUGCAUUAAAGAAGACACCUGAUAGAAUAUCAGAAGUAAGUACUACUUACGCUUGCCUAAUUACAUGAUAGCUAGUGCAAUAGCUGCUACGCCUAACGCAUAUAUUAUUCCUAGCUGUAGAAUAUCUUCAAUCAAACUUAUGAUAAAAACGCCUAUGAGCAUAAUCUGUACAUUAUAUAUACAUUUUAGCUAUAGGUAUUACGUAAUUUCACAAUGCCCCACACGAUACGCGGACUAAUAUGUAUAUCUAACUCAAGUGCCCUCUGCCAACGAGCCAUUUUUCUACAUUGGAUCAUAUAUAUGUGUAUAUAUAUUUAGACUGGCUGUUGUAUUUGACUACAAGCAUAUUCACUGGCCCCGUUCAAUUCCAAAGAUGCCUUAUCAUCAUUACCGGCAAUCUUCUCUCGUUGCUGUUAUCCGUCUCUUAUAGAAAACCCGCCUCAUUCAGCCUAGCGGUUUCGGUAAGCGUGUACUGGCGCCGGCCGAUCGCUGAUUCGCAACUCGCAUCCAUUGUGUUAAUCAUACCACUGUCCCUAGUGUCGUUGUUACCAUUGUUGAUUUUUUUGCCUCGCUGCUGGGGCAAUGCAAGCUUGCUGCUGCUGCCCCCAUGUGGCUACUGCAACUGCAUGCGUUUUACGUACGACUUUCUCCCGAUCACGCUUAUGUGCGUCUGAAGUGUUUGUUUUGAAGCGGUAGACAGGAUAUUAAAAGAAGCGGGCGCGACCGUUACAGCAGCGCCAGUCGUGACAACACGAUCUUAGCGUUAUCGGUACGGGGAGCUUAAAGGGAGUAUUGGCCGAACGUCCUAACCAUCUUCGCAGUGAUCAACGGCAAUAGGGGCAGUCGCAGUGCUAAUUAUAGUUAGCGGCCAGUUGGUAUACCGAAUAUCUACUAGGUAGUUCGUCAUCCCCCUAGCAACAGUCACAGCGGCCGAAGUUGAACCGCGUGUUCGGCCCGAUUAUGAAUCCGCGUACUGACUGUAAUUUCUGCCCGAUGACAAUUUCGUUUAACGUAUGCCUAUUCAUGUUCGUUCGGACCUGUUGCACGCUACAAGCAAAUAGGCAAACGGAUCCUCUGGCAGAUAAUCGGUUUGUUUGGUCAGGCGCUGCUAAAGGGCCUUGUUACUGUAAGCAAGGAGCAGCUACUAUUUUCUACCUUCCACUUGAUACACUAAAUAUAUUAGACGACUACACGUGGCUUAUAUAUGGUGCAUGAGACAUAAGAACUGCUAUGUACGCAAUGCUAUGUCCUCUACGGCUGGUGUUAUUACUAUUGCAGCGUUGUGCACGGUGGAAUACAUACCAAGUGCAUUGGUAGACAAUAGUAGGAUCGAUAUCGCUACUGGGCAGGUAGUUCCACUGCCAUUGGUUUCGGAGCUAAAAGAAAGAAGUCCAUGUCGGCUUCUGUUGAGGGAUCGGUGCUAGCCGUAACAGGGUGAUGAAUGCAAUGUUAACUAGCCCCCGCUGACGGUCUCCAGACGACCAUUAGGAAUAGGGCUGGCAGCCGCAGAACUGACGUUGAGAGAAAAGUCGACCCAGUUUCUUGCGACGCGAUACGAUGCUAGAAGUGACGGUGACAGUUGAAAUGGGCAGUGGCGGAUGAUAAUGCUAACGACAGCGACGACAGUCUUUGUACACGCAUACAUAGCAUGCAGUACGCGGCAUCCCGUAGGAGUCGCAAUUGCCGGAGACAGCAAAUCAUCUAAGCAAAGCUAGAGUUCUAUCAGCACCUUCUAAAAUUGGUUCUAAAAUUAAAUCUCAUAACCUAACCUUGUGAAAACUCAUACGACGCUUAGUGAAUAAUCGGGCCAGUUGUAGGCCGCACUAUACGAGCCUUCAAUAAACUAUCUUACAGACUACCGAAACGGGGAGGCUUGGUCAACAGGCAAAUGGCGCCGAUCAAUACGUUUAAAUAAAAUCCCAGCUACUGUCUCUUGGCUAAGCAAAGUAUUAGGCAAAAAAAAAAAAGUAGAGAAGAGUAGAAUAAGAAACCUGUAACAAAUUCUUUAAACUUGCUAGAAAUGUGCUUCGUCUAAAAUACAUCGUUUAUAAGACGAAUUACACACACACAGUACUUACAACAUUUACGACUACCAAAGUUUCGUUUGUCAAAAGCUACCGCGGCGAACGGGAUCGUUCAUUCAGUAUAGGGCGUAACUAAAAGAACAGAGGAGGCACUUGUAACUGAAAUCUAAGGUCCCGAAUCUUGUUGUGACAACGAUUUAUGAAAAGGUGCGAACAGUCACACAGUUCGUCACAAUAGAUAAGGCUCGCCUAGUACAUCUUCGAAGCGUACAACGAAUUUCCAUACCCCCUAUUUCUCACUCUGUGAAACUCAUUGUUUCGUUGAAAUAAGCUUUGAAUAUAUACUGGAACUAAUCAAAACCCUCAUAUUUCAUGACGCUGUUUAUAUUUGUUACUAUCUUAUUGAUUUCUGCUUUUGUUUCAUGUAAUUUUGUGAUCGACUAAAGAAAGUACUGAACUUUUAAGAGAUAUAUUAGUGAUUCAGUAUUCUACCCCCGUCCCCAACAGCUUAUACCUAAUGAAGACUCUAUUCGAGGUUCGCGGCCUGUGAACAAUACAGCUUAUAGAAAAAAAAAACAUUUUUAUAGGAGGCGAAACGCCUGAAAAUCAGUGGUCAUCCGAUCCGUUUAUACCAUAUUGAGACGUUCAGCCUUCUUUAUAAUUUGGUCGCAUCGCACUGAAAGCGCUGUCACCUCGGGCAAUAUGUGCAUGAAUGGUCUAUUUUGAUGAAUUCAAAUCAUCGCUAUCAUUCAACCAAAUGGCCAUGUUCAACGCCCAGAUUAACCUUUUUGCCUAUUUUAAACCCGCCGAAAUGGUGGGUUCGUGUGUACAUAGGCAUUUUAUCGAUUUAAAUGCACAGAUAUGGGCAAUAAUUGGAAAUGGAUAUCGAGUUAUUUCAUCACUGUAGCAGCAGUAUUAGUAUUUGUCUAUGGAAAAUGGCGACAGAAAGAGCCACCUCUACUAUGUUUAUGGCGUUUAUGCUGUGUCCUGUUAUAUCCGUAUGCAGACGCCAGAAAGCAUUGCCAAGGUCAUUCCACGUGCGUUUAACCUCUCUGUGCGCAUCGUACUGUUCUGAGUAUUCCCAAUUACAGAUUACGCCGUGAAAAGUUCAGGCCAAUGUGGCCUACAGGACUAUAAGCAUCCCGGUCAAAAGAGAUGCAGGCUGCGUUCGAAUGCCGUGCAUACGUUUGGCCGUUCUCGUGGACUUAGAUUCACCAGGUCCCGAUGACUGCGAUGCCACAGGCGGCGAUCUUUGCAGUAGUAUAGCGUGCGCGGCACGUGCAAUUUUCAGUCAGCAUCACGCAUUCGCAGACAGGCAAAAGGGCCGCCCAACGUCGCCGCCACGCGGAUGCCGGCUCCGAUUUCGGAUCGCAAACAUAUCUGCAAUAGCUAACAGAGUAACCCCGUUUUUCACUUCGGUGCCAUUACACGUUAGCUAUUACAAUACAUUACAGCGAAGCCAGCAUUUGCGGCGGAUCUUGAUAGUGUUAAUAGUUUUUUUUUUUAUAUAUAUACACGAUCCGUCAGUUGUUGUUUUCGAUGUUUGCGGAUGCGCAACGGGUCAAGGGACCAAGAACCGCGAUUGGCCGAUGUAAGCGUCGACAGGGGUCGCGAGGGCCGGCAUCCUUGGAAUGCGGAAUCGAACAUAUACGCUCGCACACGCAGAUAGUGAACGACAAACGGGGCGGUGCGAAGACGCUGCAAGCUACGCGCGAUCUGCUAGGCACACCGGCACGCUGUAAGCAUACAUCGACCGUGAGAAGCUACCGUGGGACACCGUCACAAGAUAGACUUUUGGCCAAGCAAGGAGGCAAGCCAGACCGCCAACCGGACGCUGCAGGAGAACCGCAGCCAAGGGACCGACACGGUUACAACAACAGCGCUACAUAUAGGCAGACCAGCAGGUACGGAUAUCGAGCGCAAACUUGGAAACGUAAGAGUCGACUAGAUUAGCUGGCAUAGCAGACGAAGCGUUGUAUUGAUUAUGAUUUUGAAAAUGCCGCCAUGAUUGAGGAAAAUCCGCAAAAAUGUUGCGAGCAUUUUUCGAAAAUUGACAAUUUACAUCUAUAAUUAAUUUUAAUCUUUAAUCAAAUGUAUAUCCUGCGUAUUUUCGAACUAAGUUAAACAGUUUCAAGUUUAUAGAGCUAGUCGCCUCGACAGACGCGUCGCAAUCAUAGAAUAAGAAUAAAUACGCGAUCAGAGCGAUA